Molecule: ribosomal RNA, 253 nt
Filed under: uncultured bacterium
Lineage: Bacteria
Description: partial 16S ribosomal RNA
Rfam family: Bacterial small subunit ribosomal RNA
Source: RNAcentral
CACGUAGGCACCAAGCGUUGUCCGGAAUUAUUGGGCGUAAAGAGCUCGUAGGCGGUCUGUCACGUCGGAUGUGAAAACUCGGGGCUCAACCCCGAGCCUGCAUUCGAUACGGGCAGACUUGAGUUCGGCAGGGGAGACUGGAAUUCCUGGUGUAGCGGUGAAAUGCGCAGAUAUCAGGAGGAACACCGGUGGCGAAGGCGGGUCUCUGGGCCGAUACUGACGCUGAGGAGCGAAAGCGUGGGGAGCGAACAGG